RNAcentral lists this non-coding RNA (115 nucleotides) under uncultured Gemmiger sp. Its description in RNAcentral is "THF riboswitch". It matches the Rfam family "THF (Tetrahydrofolate) riboswitch aptamer". From Rfam's summary of the family: THF riboswitch presents a pseudoknot that joins P1-P2 and the loop of P3 and two THF binding. The record is from RNAcentral. Lineage: Bacteria; Bacillati; Bacillota; Clostridia; Eubacteriales; Oscillospiraceae.
GCAGAGUAGGGGGCUGCGCGUGGGGCUUUGGCCCCGAAGUGCCUGACCAACGGGGAGUUGUGGCAGGACGAAGCGACCGGCAGCGGUCCGCGGUGCAGUCUCCGCAUCCCGCUGC